AGCCUACAAGUCCUUUACUGACGCUAAAGCUCGAAGGUGCGGGUAUCGAACAGGAUUAGAUACCCUGGUAGUCCGCACGGUAAACGAUGGAUGCCCGCUGUUUGCGAUAUAGUGUGAGCGGCCAAGCGAAAGCGUUAAGCAUCCCACCUGGGGAGUACGCCGGCAACGGUGAAACUCAAAGGAAUUGACGGGGGCCCGCACAAGCGGAGGAACAUGUGGUUUAAUUCGAUGAUACGCGAGGAACCUUACCCGGGCUUGAACUGCAGCAGAACGAUUGAGAGAUCAUGAGGUCCUUCGGGACUGCUGUGGAGGUGCUGCAUGGUUGUCGUCAGCUCGUGCCGUGAGGUGUCGGCUUAAGUGCCAUAACGAGCGCAACCCCUCUCUUCAGUUGCCAUCAGGUAGGGCUGGGCACUCUGGAGACACUGCCACCGUAAGGUGUGAGGAAGGUGGGGAUGACGUCAAAUCAGCACGGCCCUUACGUCCGGGGCUACACACGUGUUACAAUGGGUGGUACAGAGCGUCGGCGGCCUGCAAAGUCCGUCCAAUCGCAAAAUCCAUCCUCAGUUCGGACUGGGGUCUGCAACCCGACCCCACGAAGCUG
RNAcentral lists this ribosomal RNA (601 nucleotides) under uncultured bacterium. Its description in RNAcentral is "bacterial SSU rRNA". It matches the Rfam family "Bacterial small subunit ribosomal RNA", at positions 723 to 1328 of the family's 1533-position model. The record is from RNAcentral.